Long non-coding RNA from Drosophila sulfurigaster albostrigata, 264 nucleotides. RefSeq lists it as uncharacterized. Lineage: Eukaryota; Metazoa; Arthropoda; Insecta; Diptera; Drosophilidae. The transcript is spliced from 3 exons. The record is from RefSeq and is a predicted model, not a curated record.
GUUCGAUUGACUUUGUAGUGUGCUUAAAUUAGUGAAAAAUCUUUGCAAACUUUCACUGUUUAUUUUGUGGUGCAACAAAUUGAUUUAUUAUUUCUGAUUAUGGCAAAUCGUAGCAAAGCUUAAAACUAACAAGUUUGUUUGUGUUCCGUGGUGUAUAACUUAUAAAUGGCACAACGUUGCAAAAAGCAACUUAUGAGCUCCCACACGCUGCACUUCUCGAAGUUUGGGAGAAAAACAGGCGCUCGGAAGAUGCUCUAAGAAGCU